CAUAUAUUAGGUAUACAUUUCAGGCACAAAAUAUACCAUUAUAUGGGGAAAAGAAAGAACCUUCAGUCAGGGGUUUUUACACCAUAUAGAGGCUCUCAAAAGGUAAACAGACACAUAAACAAAACUCCCACCAGCACUUUUUGACGCCCCAUAUACAGCAGUCUGAUAGGAUUCUUUUGUCGGAUGUUAAACAUGGUUAAGGGUGGGACCAUCUGCGACUUAAGAGUGAAUGGUGGUUAUUGUUGUUGUUGUUGUUUGCAGGGCAUAUCGCUGAAGGAGGCAAGAAGAGAAACUGAACAGAACUUCCACGCUCUGCAUCUUUCCCUGAUGUUCUGUCACAAGAUCCUGCCCUUUGUUUAAUUUCCAGGAAAUCUGAGCAGGUCAAGCUGACUCAGUACCAAGAGUUUCGUUAGAUAUCCGUGUGGAACACACAGCUUGCAACGGGGGCCCACCCUCAGCCCUUCUCCAAAGAAAUGGCUAGCAGGCAUAGUCUUUGUCACCAGCAAUCCCCGUAUGUAUUUGGGACGCAAAUGCGGACAGUGUUGUGGCUUUGUUGUGGCCCCUGUUUUAAAGUUUAUCAAAACUUUGGUUGUCAAAGUGGAAUGCUGCCCUAUGUGAUCAAAUUUUUAUUUCUGCCAUAAUACUGCCUACGAAUCUACUUUAGUUCUUUUGGCAUUAGUUCUGUUUUAUUGUUGAAUUAAAGACUUCCCCUGAUAGAAGUGUUGUUGUUGUUUAGUUGU
Molecule: long non-coding RNA, 740 nt
Filed under: Pogona vitticeps (central bearded dragon)
Lineage: Eukaryota; Metazoa; Chordata; Lepidosauria; Squamata; Agamidae
Description: lncRNA (ENSPVIG00000016944.1)
Source: RNAcentral